CUCCCAUGACAAUCGAUCUUCGACUGAGCUUCUACAAUAAGCGGUCUCCUUUCAGCCUUCUACAAGAACCAGACUCCGUCCGAACUUCUACAGCGGAUGGAUUUCAGAUGAACUUCUACAGCGGAUGGGCUCCAGCGGCCAGAUUUCUACAAUGAUCGACUGUCUCCGAUGUCUUCCGUACCUCUCCAACCAAACUUCAGCAGCACCAAUCGGACUUCAACAGUUCCAACCAGACCCC
RNAcentral lists this long non-coding RNA (238 nucleotides) under Elaeis guineensis (African oil palm). Its description in RNAcentral is "long non-coding RNA (EGUI_LNC022036)". Lineage: Eukaryota; Viridiplantae; Streptophyta; Magnoliopsida; Arecales; Arecaceae. The record is from RNAcentral.